AACCUAGCACACCUGCGGUGUGUACCUGCGGAGGGAUCAUUACUGAGUGUAAAAACUCCCAAACCCACUGUGAACAUACCACUGUUGCUUCGGCGGAUGCGCCCCGGGCGCGCCCUACAAAGGCGUGCCCCGGAUCAAGGCCACCGCCGGGGGACCGAAACUCUUGUUUUCCUAAGGAUUCUCUGAGUGUGAUUAUUAAAUCAAAUCAAAACUUUUAGCAAUGGAUCUCAGAUCGGAAGA
This 240-nucleotide unclassified non-coding RNA is filed under the name soil metagenome. Its description in RNAcentral is "partial contains 5.8S ribosomal RNA, internal transcribed spacer 2, and large subunit ribosomal RNA". The record is from RNAcentral.